AGAAUAGCUAGCUCCUGCAGUGCCUGAUUAACCAACCUUGCAACAUUCUGUCUUUGUUCCUGCCUCAACUGAUAAGCCAAUCUUGUGACACCGGACCUUGGAUCUUGCAACAGCCCCCCCGCCUUCCCACGACACCCCUCUGGCUUGCAAAAACCUCCCUGAACUAUAACUUCUGUAACUUUCCACUGCCUACCUCAAAUCUAUAAAAUGAACUCCUAUCCCACCACCCUCUGCUGACUCCUUUUUUGGACUCAGCUUACUCGCACCCGAGUGAAGAAACAGCAUUGUUGCUCACACAAAGCCUGUUUAGCCUCUUGAUUUCCAGCAACAUACUACAGAACACACCUGCUAUUAAAAACACUUCACAACUUCUACUCAGUGUCAUCCAUUGCUGUUGUGAAAGACCACACAGCAAUAUCUGAUAUGUUGCAAGCUUUCCAGGUAGGCUGAACUUAAAAAGUUGGUCCAUUAGUUGUAUCUGAUGGAUAUAAAUUUGCCUCCUAGUUUACUUUGUGUCAAGAGCUAGCACUGUGAACCUAACUUUCUUUUACUGGUGGGUAAUAACUGAAAAUAAAGAUUUAUUUUCAUGCUCAAA
Long non-coding RNA from Sapajus apella (tufted capuchin), 595 nucleotides. RefSeq lists it as uncharacterized. The transcript has 2 exons. The record is from RefSeq and is a predicted model, not a curated record. NCBI's taxonomy places the organism in Eukaryota, Metazoa, Chordata, Mammalia, Primates, Cebidae.